GUGCACCUAUUGACAGCCCAGCAGUCCAGUAAUGUGAUUUUCUUGGGUUUCUACAUUGAGGUGCAAGAUUAAGGUAUUCCUCGCGCUUUCUUCCUGUUCCCCUCGUAACAGUUCAGAUUGAAUAGAGGAAUACAUAC
Molecule: small nucleolar RNA, 137 nt
Organism: Callorhinchus milii (elephant shark)
Lineage: Eukaryota; Metazoa; Chordata; Chondrichthyes; Chimaeriformes; Callorhinchidae
Product: small nucleolar RNA SNORA31
Exons: 1
Source: RefSeq, a predicted model, not a curated record